RNAcentral lists this ribosomal RNA (685 nucleotides) under uncultured bacterium. Its description in RNAcentral is "bacterial SSU rRNA". It matches the Rfam family "Bacterial small subunit ribosomal RNA", at positions 193 to 882 of the family's 1533-position model. The record is from RNAcentral.
UAGAACUAUUAAAGAAUUUCGGUCAUCGAUGGGGAUGCGUUCCAUUAGGUUGUUGGCGGGGUAACGGCCCACCAAGCCUUCGAUGGAUAGGGGUUCUGAGAGGAAGGUCCCCCACAUUGGAACUGAGACACGGUCCAAACUCCUACGGGAGGCAGCAGUGAGGAAUAUUGGUCAAUGGACGAGAGUCUGAACCAGCCAAGUAGCGUGAAGGAUGACUGCCCUAUGGGUUGUAAACUUCUUUUAUACGGGAAUAAAGUGAGGCACGCGUGCCUUUUUGUAUGUACCGUAUGAAUAAGGAUCGGCUAACUCCGUGCCAGCAGCCGCGGUAAUACGGAGGAUCCGAGCGUUAUCCGGAUUUAUUGGGUUUAAAGGGAGCGUAGGCGGACGCUUAAGUCAGUUGUGAAAGUUUGCGGCUCAACCGUAAAAUUGCAGUUGAUACUGGGUGUCUUGAGUACAGUAGAGGCAGGCGGAAUUCGUGGUGUAGCGGUGAAAUGCUUAGAUAUCACGAAGAACUCCGAUUGCGAAGGCAGCCUGCUGGACUGUAACUGACGCUGAUGCUCGAAAGUGUGGGUAUCAAACAGGAUUAGAUACCCUGGUAGUCCACACAGUAAACGAUGAAUACUCGCUGUUUGCGAUAUACAGUAAGCGGCCAAGCGAAAGCGUUAAGUAUUCCACCUGGGGAGUA